This 1004-nucleotide long non-coding RNA is filed under the name Medicago truncatula (barrel medic). Its description in RNAcentral is "long non-coding RNA (MTRU_LNC007762)". The record is from RNAcentral. Lineage: Eukaryota; Viridiplantae; Streptophyta; Magnoliopsida; Fabales; Fabaceae.
AAGAAAUAUUUUUAACGUGGGAAGUGUCCAAAUUCCAAUUGGAGAAGAAGGUACUUAUGUUAUAGGUGAUGUUUAUUAUUUCAUUCAUUCACAGACAAAGAUACACAUUUUAAUUUAUGUAUAAAUGAAAGAAUAAAAUUAGUUGUCUUUUUCUUCUUGGUUUGGGUAUAUAACGUACAAAAGGAGUUGAUUUGUUUAAUUAAAAUACAUGACAUUGACAAACAUGACCAUAAAGACCACAUGGUGAUUAAAGGGGUAAUAAGCUGAUAAUAGACACGUCGCAUGUGCAUUCCUCAUGAGUUUAGCGUUAAGUGUGAACUACAAUAGUAUUUGUCUAUCUAAUAUGCUGAUCUUGAAUAAAAAAUUAUUCCCAAAUACCAUAACUUCCUUAGGUUUUUUUAGGGGAAAUACAGAAACUCCUUAUUCUCAAAUCGAAUUGGUCGUAGUAUUAUUGGUUAAAGUCUUGGGUAAGUCGUUGAAUAUGUACAUAUAUUACCAAGGCAACUUUUAAUUACUACUAUUUGCAAUGGUUACUCAAUCCUCAUGCCAACUCAAGUCGUUGAAUAUGUACAUAUAAUACCACAAAGUAAAUUAAGUUAAAUUAUCUUUAUAAGUUAUUUUUAUUGAAGUUGUACACGCUUAUUUUUAUUGAAUUUAGAACUAUCUUUUUUUUAAAUAUCUUUAAAAGUAUUUUUUGAAAGUGAGAUUCAAAUUUAUUAAAUAUGGUAUUAGAGUUGAAUUAAAAAUGACAAAUUUAGAAAUUGGAAUCACCAUACUCAGACAUAAAAGUGUGAAUUGGAGCCUCGGAUCGGAUUGUCAAGACUCUUGAAUUGAUGAAUUUCAAGUUUGAUGCACACAAUUAAUGUGUACCAUUGCAAUGGACUUCAGCUGUCCGAUCUUGAAUCAAUGGUAGAGAUCGUUUAAUUGCUUUUAUGAAGAUGUGACUUGAAUCGAUAAAUCUUAAAUUGAUGACUAAGAUUUAAUACCGCAUGUAAUUGUGAGCU